Molecule: long non-coding RNA, 449 nt
Organism: Gorilla gorilla gorilla (western lowland gorilla)
Lineage: Eukaryota; Metazoa; Chordata; Mammalia; Primates; Hominidae
Exons: 3
Source: RefSeq, a predicted model, not a curated record
GGAAGGAGAUUAAACCCUGGAUCUGGAAGAAUUUGGGAUGCUGGGCAGUAUUUAACCCAAAUAGAGGGGCUAGCUGCCAGUCUGACUGUCUCGGCGGAGUAAUACUGCAGUAAUUAUGUGAUAGUCUUGUGUAUAUCAAAAGAAUAUUUGAUGUCCUGAGGGCAGUGGAGAGCAUGAGAAAGAAAAAUACGCUUGGAUGGAGACAGUUAAAAUACUAGCUAGGUGUUUAACAACUGCGUUGAAUUUAAUAUGUUUCAGUUGCAUGCCUGCUAGGACUCUUCUCCCUCCAACCAGACUCAAUUGUCUUUUAAGGCACUUGAGCUCUAGCAAGGAGAGAGGUUUGAACCUCUGCAACUGCACAGCAUGGGGAGGCUAUAAAAGGAGCAACAAUAAACAAAAUGAAUUACAACAAAGUAUUCCAGUGGUACCACCAACACCGGACAACACUC